RNAcentral lists this long non-coding RNA (343 nucleotides) under Nicotiana benthamiana. RNAcentral describes it as "long non-coding RNA (NBEN_LNC037116)". The record is from RNAcentral. Lineage: Eukaryota; Viridiplantae; Streptophyta; Magnoliopsida; Solanales; Solanaceae.
AAACUGCAUACUUUAAUUACAAUUGAAGGAAGAAAGUAAGCAGCGACAAUUGCAUUAACGAGUAGCUUAUUCCCCCGACGAUAUUACAUAAAUCAGAAGCUUGGCAGUUUGAAAUUAUACCAAGGUUGUACUUAUUAAGAACUAGUUCAAAAAGAAUCUUGAAAGUAAUGACCUACCCUAACUCUGCUAAAUUUGUCUUCCUCUGUGCAGACGAUAGCAAAUGAUCUAGAAGCACAUUCCGCUUACUUGCAUUUGUAAUUGGAGAUACCAAGAUUAUUACUACCAAAUAAAGCCGCUUCUUCAUCAGUAGCCAAUCGCUGAAAUCACAACAUAUGGAACAUGA